UCGAGCGAGGAAGACGUAGCAAUACGUUUGUAAAGCGGCGAACGGGUGAGGAAUACAUGGGUAACCUACCCUAGAGUGGGGAAUAACUAGCCGAAAGGUUAGCUAAUACCGCGUACGCUCCCUGGACUUCGGUUCAGGGGGGAAAGCGCUACCGAGGGUAGCGCGCUCUUGGAUGGGCUCAUGUCCUAUCAGCUUGCUGGUGAGGUAACGGCUCACCAAGGCUUCGACGGGUAGCUGGUCUGAGAGGACGAUCAGCCACACUGGCACUGCGACACGGGCCAGACUCCUACGGGAGGCAGCAGUAAGGAAUAUUGCGCAAUGGACGAAAGUCUGACGCAGCGACGCCGCGUGGGGGAUGAAGGUCUUCGGAUUGUAAACCCCUUUCGGCAGGGAAGAUGGAACGGGUAACCGUUCGGACGGUACCUGCAGAAGCAGCCACGGCUAACUUCGUGCCAGCAGCCGCGGUAAUACGAAGGUGGCAAGCGUUGUUCGGAUUCACUGGGCGUACAGGGAGCGUAGGCGGUUGAGUAAGCCCUCCGUGAAAUCUCCGGGCCUAACCCGGAAAGUGCAGAGGGGACUGCUCGGCUAGAGGAUGGGAGAGGAGCGCGGAAUUCCCGGUGUAGCGGUGAAAUGCGUAGAGAUCGGGAGGAAGGCCGGUGGCGAAGGCGGCGCUCUGGAACAUUUCUGACGCUGAGGCUCG
RNAcentral lists this ribosomal RNA (700 nucleotides) under uncultured Nitrospirota bacterium. RNAcentral describes it as "bacterial SSU rRNA". It matches the Rfam family "Bacterial small subunit ribosomal RNA", at positions 62 to 755 of the family's 1533-position model. Lineage: Bacteria; Pseudomonadati; Nitrospirota. The record is from RNAcentral.